UGGGGAAUAUUGCACAAUGGGCGAAAGCCUGAUGCAGCAACGCCGCGUGGGUGAUGAAGGCCUUCGGGUUGUAAAUCCCUUUCGGCCGAGAAGAAGUGUUAUGCGGUGAAUAGCCGUGUAAUUCGAUGGUAUCGGAAGAAGAAGCACCGGCAAACUUCGUGCCAGCAGCCGCGGUAAUACGAAGGGUGCAAGCGUUGUUCGGAAUUACUGGGCGUAAAGGGUUCGUAGGCGGGAAGAUAAGUUGAGUGUGAAAACCCUGGGCUCAACCUGGGACGUGCACUCAAAACUGUUUUUCUUGAGUAUCGGAGAGGGUGGUGGAAUUGCUGGUGUAGGAGUGACAUCCGUAGAGAUCAGCAGGAACACCGGAGGCGAAAGCGACCGCCUGGCCGAAUACUGACGCUGAGGAACGAAAGCGUGGGGAGCAAACAGG
This 430-nucleotide ribosomal RNA is filed under the name uncultured bacterium. RNAcentral describes it as "bacterial SSU rRNA". It matches the Rfam family "Bacterial small subunit ribosomal RNA", at positions 355 to 776 of the family's 1533-position model. The record is from RNAcentral.